AUGGAGCUGUGCCUAGGGGUGGAUGAAGAGCGAGUGGAGAGCUUGUGGGUAAGGAUUCAAGGGCAGGCUAGCAUGGGUGACCGUGUUGUGGGUGUUUACUACAGGCCAGCUGAUCRGGAAGAGGAAGUCGCUGAGGCCUUCUCCAGACAACUGGAAGUAGCCUCACAAUCCCAGGCCCUGGUUCUCAUGGGGGACUUGAAGCACCCUGAUAUCUGCUGGAGAGACAGCACAGCUAGGCUCAAAGAGUCCCGGAGGUUCCUGCAGAGCAUUGGUGACAACUUCUUGACACAGGUGUUGGAGGAGCCAAGGAGGAGAGGUGUGCUGCUGGACCUCGUACUAACAAACAAAGAAGGACUGGUGGAAGAUGUGAAGGUCGGGGGCAGCCUUGGCUGCAGUGACCAUGAGAUGGUGGAGUUCAGGAUCCUGCGAGGAGGAGGCAGGGCACUAAGUAGGAUCGCAACCCUGGACUUGAAGAGAGCAAACUUUGGCCUCUUCAGGGACCUACUUGGAGGAAUCCCAUGGGUUAGGGCCCUAGAAGGAAGGGGCGUUCAAGAGAUCUGGUUAAUAUUCAAACAUCACUUCCUCCAAGCUCAAGAUCGGUGCAUCCCUGUGAGUAGGAAGUCAAGCAAAGGGGACAGGAGACCUGUGUGGACGAGCAAGGAGCUCCUGGCAAAACUCAACCAGAAGAAGGAAGUAUACAGGAAGUGGAAAGGGGGACAGGCCACUUGGGAGGAAUAUAGGAACGCUGUCAGAGUAUGCAGGGAUGCGACGAGGAAGGCUAAGGCCCGUUUGGAAUUAAAUCUGGCGAGAGAUGUCAAGGACAGCAAGAAGGGCUUCUUCAAAUACCUCAGUAGCAAGAGGAAGACUAGGGAAAAUGUGGGCCCUUUGCUGAAUGGGGUGGGUGCCCUGGUGACGAAGGAUGCAGAGAAGGCAGAGUUCCUGAUGCCGCCUUUGCUUCAGUCUUUACUGCUCAGGCCAGCCCUCAGGAACCGCAGACCCUGGAGGCAAGACAGAAAGUCUGGAGAAAGGAAGACUUUCCCUUGGUUGAGGAGGAUGGGGUUAGAGAUCAUUUAG
RNAcentral lists this long non-coding RNA (1074 nucleotides) under Apteryx haastii (Great spotted kiwi). Its description in RNAcentral is "lncRNA (ENSAHAG00000000440.1)". The record is from RNAcentral. Lineage: Eukaryota; Metazoa; Chordata; Aves; Apterygiformes; Apterygidae.